Long non-coding RNA from Mercurialis annua (annual mercury), 590 nucleotides. RefSeq lists it as uncharacterized. The transcript is spliced from 3 exons. The record is from RefSeq and is a predicted model, not a curated record. NCBI's taxonomy places the organism in Eukaryota, Viridiplantae, Streptophyta, Magnoliopsida, Malpighiales, Euphorbiaceae.
UAUUUAUCUAGCAAAAUAAGAUUAGAAAGAGGGAAAAAUAAAUGAAACCCCAACUCUUCUCCAUGAAGCUCCAUCACCGCCAUCAUCAUCUCUUCCUCUCCUUGUGCGCGUUGGACGACGGCGGCCAUAACUCAACGAUCCGACAACCGUUUUCGAUGGUUCAAGCUCGGUUGGAAAGCCAACACAUAGAGGAAUAUGACUCGACGAGGCGACUACCAACGGAACACGGUACUUAAAGAACGCGAUAUGACCUUAGCUUUUGGAUAGAAAACUUGUUAUGUUUCAGGUGUAUAGUAUCGGAUGUAACGGACUUCUAUCCUUGUUCCAGAAGUCCGCGAGUACAAAAAGAAGGAAUAAAUCAGUAGUGCUGCAGUAGUCGAGUCCUAGAGUGUAAUUAUAUUUUGUCAAACGGUUUUAAAUAUUUUGUUUAUACUCUGACAUGUAUAAAGAUUUUAGACUGCGCUUUUAAACCGUUUGUAUAUAUGUGAGAAACAGGGCAUGGCUUGAUAUGAGAUAUCGCUUUGUAAGACCCUGAUUUCUAAAGAUCGUUUUGUAUCGUUUAAAGAAGUUUUAUAAAAACAUUUUGUGAA